RNAcentral lists this transfer RNA (66 nucleotides) under marine eukaryotic metagenome. It matches the Rfam family "tRNA". Rfam says of the family: Transfer RNA (tRNA) molecules are approximately 80 nucleotides in length. Their secondary structure includes four short double-helical elements and three loops (D, anti-codon, and T loops). The record is from RNAcentral.
GGUGUGGCUCAGCUGGUAGAGCAGUGGUCUCCAAAACCAAAGGUCGUAGGUUCGAUCCCUACCACC